GGGAGGCUAGGUGGCAUUUUGGGGUGAAAAUUAGGUGAAUUCCGGGGGCAUUUUGGUACCGCUAAAUGCGAGGACAGGGUAGGAGCCGGGGGGAAGCUGUUUUCAGGUAAAGUUCUACCAAAUGGAGCCUAUAGCUUUGCCAUACACACUGCUCUUUAUUUCAUCUGUCAGACAUUGGCCAUAGUUCAGCGAGGAAGCGUGGCAUCAUGUGGAAC
Molecule: long non-coding RNA, 215 nt
Filed under: Setaria viridis
Lineage: Eukaryota; Viridiplantae; Streptophyta; Magnoliopsida; Poales; Poaceae
Description: long non-coding RNA (SVIR_LNC010183)
Source: RNAcentral